RNAcentral lists this ribosomal RNA (253 nucleotides) under uncultured bacterium. RNAcentral's name for it is "partial 16S ribosomal RNA". It matches the Rfam family "Bacterial small subunit ribosomal RNA", at positions 524 to 776 of the family's 1533-position model. The record is from RNAcentral.
UACGAGCCGUCCAAACGUUAUUCGGAUUUAUUGGGCUUAAAGGGUAUGUAGGCGGCCCUUCAAGUCGGGUGUGAAAGCCCUCGGCUCAACCGAGGAACUGCGCCCGAUACUGUGGGGCUCGAGGGAGACAGAGGUAAGCGGAACUGAUGGUGGAGCGGUGAAAUGCGUUGAUAUCAUCAGGAACACCAGUGGCGAAAGCGGCUUACUGGGUCUCUUCUGACGCUGAGAUACGAAAGCUAGGGGAGCGAACGGG